Molecule: non-coding RNA, 362 nt
Organism: Pelobates cultripes (western spadefoot toad)
Lineage: Eukaryota; Metazoa; Chordata; Amphibia; Anura; Pelobatidae
Source: the annotation of a GenBank genome assembly
AUCCUGACCCUAUCUGCGCAAGAAGACCCAACCGGUUUCCUGAUGGCGCUUAACCUGCCGCGGAAGGCAAAUCCUGUGACAAAUGCAGAAACCACACUGACGACUGAAGAGACCAGCACGGCACGGAGACGGAAUUCAGAGGCGGGAACUAAGCAUAGAGAGCCAAGAAGGCUGAACCCACCAUAGACCAGCUCGAGAGACGGAGGGUAGGUGACAUCACUACCCCAGGGACUUACCAAGAACUGUAACACACCCCUGACAGAUGCAGAUGAAGAGAUCCCAAGCAGUUAAUGCGGUACACUUUCAUCGAAAACUUUACCCUCCUGGACUUAAUUCUAUUAUACUGAGGACUUACCCUCCAG